AUGGUUUUUACCUGAAGAAGCACAUAUCCUAAGCAGGAUAUGGUUUUCACCUGAAGAAGCCCACAGGAAAGCGUGGGAUUACACAGCAACGCCGCAACGCCUCAAGAGGAAAACGACGCCCGCAGGUGACGUUGUUGCCUGCCAAAAGGCUAGACUUUCGUACGUAAUCAAACAACCCUCCCGUGCCCUCGUUGUCGAUCGGCCAUCCAAAAGGAGUCCAAAACUCCGGCGUGCCUCGAUCCAUCCACGUUGUUGGGUAGGAUGGGGAGAGGGUGAUAGGGAAGAAUGGAUGCCCUCUCUCCAUCACUAGCCCUCCGAACGUGGCCAUCUUGAGACGGCAAAGGCACCGUCCAAGAGAAUGAUCGUCUGCAUUUGGGCCCACCAAAGGCUUGCAACGCCCAUCUCACGGCGCCACCGUCGUCGCCCGCCGUGCGGCCGCCGUCGCCACUACCGCGCCUCCUCCACCGCGUUGUCUCGCGCAGCAUGCCGUCGCACACCGCCGCAGCCGCAAGCGCAGCCAACGGCCGGCGCCGCCGCGCGCCACCAUAUACCGACGACGACCCUUUACCGCGCCAUCCCCAUCCGCACCCACGGCGGGACGGCGGUUCAGAUCUGGCAGCCUGCAGCAGCGAGCCCCGUCGCCGCCGUCCCUACAGCCGGCCGGCUUGCCGGCGGCGCCACCACGUGACGCCAUCGCCCCCUUCCUCCACGGUUCGGCCGUCGUCGUGGACACGCCGUCGGCUGCCGCCGUCUUUCGCCGCCUAGCCCGGAGCACGUCGCCAGAUCUGCGCAAAGGAGCACCAGAUCUGGCCGUCGCACGUCGAGGAGCGCCAUAUCCGGUCGUCCGGCCGUUGUCGUCGACAAGCCGCUGGCUGCCACCGUCUUCCGCCGCCGCCCGGCCCGGCGCACUUCCACACCACCCCUGCUCUUCAGAGUGAUGGCUACCGGCGGGAGAAGCCUCGCCGCUGCCGUCCUUGCAGCCGCUCGGCUUGCUGGCAAGCCGCUCAGGCAGCGGCGAGGUGGGGGAGGCAGCUUGGCAGUGCGGCGGCCGGCGGACUUGGUCCUCGCCCGAGUCGCCCUGGGCUCGGCGACACGGGCAAGCGCUCCCCUUUCACAUUACAGAAGCAAAUUUUGGACAGAGAUUUGGUUUUGAUUUCAAGGGGAGGACAAGCGUUUGGUGGCUAUGAUGGAAGCCAUAGUUUGGAGAAGCUCACUUUCCCUAGACCACAAGCUAGCUCUCAUCUGGAAUUGGCACUAACCCUCACAUGUGAUGGAUACAUACCUCGUCAGUGACAAGUGGCCAUUGGUAAGAGACUAUAUAUGUGACAAACUUUAAGCUUGGGAAGCAUCAGGAAAUUAGUAUGUGCCAAAGUCCUCAAUGCAUCAAUCUAAGUCCCCGCAACUUGUGGAACUGAGGAGGUUCAAGCCAUAACAUUUAAGGAUGGACCGGGAAAUACAGCAAGGUGAGGCGACUGCCAUACUUACCAAAGCUGACAUGCACCUCUUUCCAUGGCUAGUUCCCAAGCUGGUCAUGCCAGAGGAUUCGAUCACAUAAAAAGACGAGACAUGGCAUCAUCGAUAUCUCGGGUCUGGGCAUCUUUAUGAAGAGGAAGAACACAUCUACAAUAUCAUUCCAUCCCCUUGAGGUUCUAAAGAACAUUCAAAUGACCAUGCAAUGUUUUACUUAUCUUAGCCGACUAUACAAGUGAGUGCAGCCCUUCUCUGCUUCUCAGAUAACAAUCUGGGAUUGAUGGUUAUGACUUACUCCUUUCAAAAUAAAGGCUUUUGGGAUUCAAAUUUUAUACCAUAAUACAGACAUUUAUGUGUUGAUACCCAUGAUUUAAACCAUUUCAAUAAUUUCACAGCCAAUCAGAUGCUUAGAAAGAUAAUCUAAUUAAUUCAAAAUAUAAAAAUUGAGCACUAAAGUGACUAAUAGAAUAUCUUUUGACAUUUUCUUACUUUAUGCUAAACAAACUAGAAAAUAUUUUAGUUCAGAGGUAAUACUUGUGAGGAAGGUCAGUGUUCUAUCCCUAUGCUGUUAUGCUUGCUUCAGGUAGUCUCUAAUUUCAGGCAGGGGUAGAGCUACCAUUGUUCGACCCGGGUCCAAGGACACCAAUGAUCCUAAACUAAAGUCCACUUGAUACCUAUGAUGUAGUUGAAUACGACUCGGUAAUUUUGUUGGUUUGAUCCCAGCCCAUUUGGCAAUGUGGUGUACCACUAAUUAAGUAUUACUAGUUAAAUACUCGUGCUUUGCUAUGGAUUUUAUGGUAUGUUAUCAA
This is a long non-coding RNA of Oryza brachyantha (malo sina), 2279 nucleotides long. RefSeq lists it as uncharacterized. The record is from RefSeq and is a predicted model, not a curated record. NCBI's taxonomy places the organism in Eukaryota, Viridiplantae, Streptophyta, Magnoliopsida, Poales, Poaceae. The transcript is spliced from 3 exons.